RNAcentral lists this long non-coding RNA (423 nucleotides) under Ananas comosus (pineapple). RNAcentral describes it as "long non-coding RNA (ACOM_LNC041837)". Lineage: Eukaryota; Viridiplantae; Streptophyta; Magnoliopsida; Poales; Bromeliaceae. The record is from RNAcentral.
CAUCAUCCUAACCGCACAUCCCCUAAUCCAAGGGCCAAAAACUUAUAUUUUAUUUAUAAAUCUGUAUUUAUUUAUUAAUAUUUCUAAAUAUAUAAUAUAACAUAUUAUAUAUGAUGUAACAUAUUUAUUAUAAUUUUAAAUAUAUUUAAUCUAUAUAUAAAAAUUAUAAUAAUAUAUAAAAUAUAUUAAUUAUUAUAUAUUAAUAAUAUAUAAUAAAAAAUAAUAAAUAGUUUUUCAUCUAUUUUUUUUCCUUCCAACCAAACAACCAUCGUGAAAAACUAUUUUUCUUUUCCAACAAAUCAAACACUAACUACGUAAAACCGUUUUUUCACCAAAAAUUUUUUAUUCACCGAAAAAAAUUUUUCCACAGUUUUACGUGAAACCAAACACACCCUAAACGAAAAAGCAGUGAUGUGGGGAAAA